GAUGAAGAACGUAGCAAAAUGCGAUAAGUAAUGUGAAUUGCAGAAUUCAGUGAAUCAUCGAAUCUUUGAACGCACAUUGCGCCCGCCAGUAUUCUGGCGGGCAUGCCUGUUCGAGCGUCAUUUAAACCCUCAAGCCCUCGGGUUUGGUGUUGGGGAUCGGCGAGCCUUUCUGGCAAGCCGGCCCCGAAAUCUAGUGGCGGUCUCGCUGCAGCCUCCAUUGCGUAGUAGUAAAACCCUCGCAACUGGAACGCGGCGCGGCCAAGCCGUUAAACCCCCAACUUCUGAAUGUUGACCUCGGAUCAGGUAGGAAUACCCGCUGAACUUAAGCAUAUCAAUAAGCGGAGGA
This 346-nucleotide unclassified non-coding RNA is filed under the name soil metagenome. RNAcentral describes it as "partial contains 5.8S ribosomal RNA, internal transcribed spacer 2, and large subunit ribosomal RNA". The stretch from base 1 to 120 matches the Rfam family "5.8S ribosomal RNA", at positions 35 to 154 of the family's 154-position model. The record is from RNAcentral.